UGCCCCUUAGCUCAAUUGGCAGAGCGUCUGACUCUGACUCAGAAGGUUCUAGGUUCGAUUCCUAGAGGGGCAA
RNAcentral lists this transfer RNA (73 nucleotides) under Gemmatimonadota bacterium. RNAcentral's name for it is "tRNA-Gln". It matches the Rfam family "tRNA". Rfam says of the family: Transfer RNA (tRNA) molecules are approximately 80 nucleotides in length. Their secondary structure includes four short double-helical elements and three loops (D, anti-codon, and T loops). Lineage: Bacteria; Pseudomonadati; Gemmatimonadota. The record is from RNAcentral. RNAcentral also lists the same sequence under 1 other name.